GAGUUGGUGAGAUUUAGAGAUGUGGCCGUGGUCUUCUCACCAGAAGAGUGGGAUCAUCUGACUCCUGAACAGAGAAACCUGUAUAAAGAUGUGAUGCUGGAUAACUGUAAAUACCUUGCGUCUUUGGGAAACUGGACUUAUAAGGCACACGUGAUGUCCUCUUUGAAGCAAGGGAAGGAGCCCUGGAUGAUGGAGAGAGAGGUGACAGGUGAUCCCUGCCCAGGAAUCUGGGAAUGCCUUCAGACAAAGCUUUCACCAUGGAGAAUACCGAACACAUCGUACUUUUGUCCAGCAUUAUGAAUGUGAUGACUGUGGCAUGGCUUUUGGGCAUGUGUCACAACUUACUGGACAUCAGAAAAUCCAUAAGGUAGGGGAAACCCACGAAUAUGGUGAAAAUACAAGGGGCUUUAGGCAUCGCUCAUCAUUUACAAUGCUCCAGAGAAUAUGUACACUAUAUAAACACUUUGAAUGUAACCAAUGUGGUGAAACUUUUAACAGACCUUCAAAGGUUAUUCAACAUCAGAGCAUGCACAGUGGACUGAAGCCAUACAAAUGUGAUGUAUGUCAAAAGGCCUUUAGGUUUCUCUCAUCCCUCUCUAUACAUCAGAGAUUUCAUGUUGGCAACAGAGUAAACCUGACUCGGCAUCAAAAAACUCAUACUCAAAGGAAGCCCUUUUCCUGUAACUUUUGUGGAAAAACCUUUCACCGUUUCUCAGAAAAAACUCAACAUCUAUUAAUUCAUACUAGAAAGAAAUAUUAUACAUGUAAUUAUUGCAAAAAGGAAUUCAAUCCGUACUCCAAAUUUAUUCUACAUCAAAGAACUCAUACAGGAGAGAAACCCCACAAGUGUGAUGUUUGUGAGAAAUCCUUUAAAAGCAUCUCAAAUCUUAAUAAACAUCAGAAAACUCAUACUGGAGAGAAGCCCUUUUCAUGUAAUGAAUGUAAAAAAACCUUUGCCCAGCGCACGGAUCUUGCUCGCCACCAACAAAUCCAUACCGGAAAGAAGUCUUUUAUUUGCAGUAGUUGUAAAAAGACCUUUGUCCGUCUGUCAGAUCUAACACAACAUAAAGGAACUCAUACGGGAGAGAGACCUUACCAAUGUACGACUUGUGAAAAAGCCUUUAAAUAUCGGUCAAACUUUACUAAACAUCAGAAAACUCAUUCUAUAGGGAGGCCCUUUGCAUGUAAUGAAUGUGGAAAGACCUAUCGCCUUAACUGGGAACUUAACCAACAUAAAAAAAUUCAUACUGGAGAGAAACCCUAUGAAUGUGGUGAAUGUGGAAAGCGUUUUAACAAUAAUUCAAAUCUUAAUAAACACAAGAAAAUCCAUACAGGAGAGAAACACUUUGUAUGUAAUCAAUGUGGAAAAGCUUUUAGCUUAAACUCAAAGCUUUCUCGACAUCAGAGAACUCACAAUAAAAAGGAAAACUCCUCUAAAAGCGUCUCAAAUCUUAACAAACAUCAGAAAACUCAUGCUGGAGAGAAGCCCUUUCCAUGUAAUGAAUGUAAGAAAGCCUUUGCCCAGCGCAUGGAUCUUGCUCGCCACCAACAAAUCCAUACUGGAAGGAAACCUUUUAUUUGCAGUAGUUGUAAAAAAACCUUUGUCCGUCUGUCAGAUCUAACACAACAUAAAGGAACUCAUACAGGAGAGAGACCUUACCAAUGUACAACUUGUGAAAAAGCCUUUAAAUAUCAGUCAAACUUUACUAAACAUCAGAAAACCCAUUCUAUAGGGAGGCCCUUUACAUGUAAUGAAUGUGGAAAGACCUUUCGCCUUAACUGGAAACUUAAUCAACAUAAAAAAAUUCAUACUGGAGAGAAACCCUAUGAAUGUGGUGAAUGUGGAAAAUGUUUUAACAAUAAUUCAAAUCUUAGUAAACACAAGAAAAUCCAUACAGGAGAGAAACACUUUGUAUGUAAUCAAUGUGGAAAAGCUUUUAGCUUAAACUCAAAGCUUUCUCGACAUCAGAUAACUCACAAUAAAAAGAAACCCUAA
Molecule: long non-coding RNA, 1996 nt
Filed under: Homo sapiens (human)
Lineage: Eukaryota; Metazoa; Chordata; Mammalia; Primates; Hominidae
Description: non-protein coding lnc-SLC2A10-6:1
Source: RNAcentral